AAAUUGUUAGGUAUGCAUUCUUCUUUCUUACUAUUUUAUUUCAAUUUCUUCUACAUAGAUUUUGGUUUGUGAAUAUUUUGAUGUUUGUGAACAAAAUAUCGUCUCUGAUUCUAUAUCAAAGACAACCAUACGAAGCAAACUAUUUUAUUUCAAUUUCUUCUUCAUAGAUUUCCAUCUCAAUAUGGAAGACAACGAUACGAAGCAAACUGCAGAAACUCAUAACCACACUAAUCUUCGUCUCCGAUUCUAUGGGGUUUGAUUUCAAAAGAAAGAAGUUAAGAUUUACAUGUGGUGACCAUAUUUGCUAAUGGGGAGAGGGAAACUGGUGAGUGAAUUGCAAAGUCUAUGAAGAGAGUUGGAAAAGAAGCUGUAAUCACAAUUGUUGUAAGUUUUCAUGUGCUCAUCUUGCAAACAUCAUAACAGUUUGAGAACCGUUUGAAUAUGUUUUGAUCAAAGCAGUUUGUUUCUGUUUAUAUGGUAAAGGUUUAAGUGUUAUUCAUCUGUUCCUUCAAUGGUCUGGGUUGAU
Long non-coding RNA from Vicia villosa (hairy vetch), 526 nucleotides. RefSeq lists it as uncharacterized. The record is from RefSeq and is a predicted model, not a curated record. NCBI's taxonomy places the organism in Eukaryota, Viridiplantae, Streptophyta, Magnoliopsida, Fabales, Fabaceae. The transcript has 3 exons.